GGUUGUGGCUCAGUGGUACAGCACUCACCUCACACGUGUGAGACCCUGGGUUCGAUGCUCAGCAGCACA
This 69-nucleotide transfer RNA is filed under the name Marmota monax (woodchuck). RNAcentral's name for it is "tRNA.Val". It matches the Rfam family "tRNA". From Rfam's summary of the family: Transfer RNA (tRNA) molecules are approximately 80 nucleotides in length. Lineage: Eukaryota; Metazoa; Chordata; Mammalia; Rodentia; Sciuridae. The record is from RNAcentral.